CGUGCCACGUGUCCCACGUCUCCCAGUGGGAGACGUUGGAUGUCCCCUUGGCCAUUUAAUGAAUUUUGGGUCUUCUUCUUCCUCAUAACACCAAACAGAGAGAGCACACCAAACAGAGAGCACGAAAGGGGCUGCGAUUUUAGGGUUUUCAAGAUGGUUAGGUCACUAUUAUAGGGGAAAUGCUGCCCGAUAUUAUUUAGGAUAAUAAACGAUUAGUUGAGAACGGGCAUUACUUGAUUGAACAUUCGAGUCCCAGGCAUUACUUGAGAACGCUAACAAGCACAUCAUAUACAGAGGCACAAAUUGAUGAGUUGCGACAAGAAUGGGCGACAUAUAUGUUGCCGAUAAUCCAAAGUUACCGACCUCGUUGAUAGGUUUUUUUUUAAUUUUUUAACUCUUUCUUCAUACACAAUGCAAUAUUUGUUCAUUUUGAAUAUUUCUAACAAAUAUUGUAUUUCUUGUAUAUAUCUAACAAAUAUAUUUUUUUAUUUCAAUUUAAAUUAAUAUUAUUUCAAUUUAAUUAAUUUAAAUUUAGAUUAAAAUAAUUUCAAUUUAAAUUAAUAUUAUUUCAAUUUAAUUAAUUAUUAAAUUAAUUUCAAUUUAGAUUAAAAUAAUUUCAAUUUAAAUUAAAAUAAUUUCAAUUUAAAUUAAUAUUAUUUCAAUUUAAAUUAAUAUUAUUUCAAUUUAAUUAAUUAUUAAAUCAAAUUAAAAUAAUAUUAAUUAUAAAUUUAUUUAAUUUAU
Humulus lupulus (European hop) is the source of this 741-nucleotide long non-coding RNA. RefSeq lists it as uncharacterized. The transcript is spliced from 3 exons. The record is from RefSeq and is a predicted model, not a curated record. NCBI's taxonomy places the organism in Eukaryota, Viridiplantae, Streptophyta, Magnoliopsida, Rosales, Cannabaceae.